GCCGCGGGACGACCCGCCGGUGUGUCGGAUCAUGCGGGGACGACCCUG
RNAcentral lists this non-coding RNA (48 nucleotides) under Pseudomonas sp. Its description in RNAcentral is "Guanidine-II sequence". It matches the Rfam family "Guanidine-II riboswitch aptamer (mini-ykkC)". Rfam says of the family: Simpler in structure and has fewer highly conserved nucleotide positions than the ykkC-yxkD leader. Despite this each of its two stem-loop structures directly bind free guanidine. Therefore, mini-ykkC RNA motif represents a distinct class of guanidine-sensing RNAs. Lineage: Bacteria; Pseudomonadati; Pseudomonadota; Gammaproteobacteria; Pseudomonadales; Pseudomonadaceae. The record is from RNAcentral.